AGGCUUAACACAUGCAAGUCGAGCGGGCAUAGCAAUAUGUCAGCGGCAGACGGGUGAGUAACAGCAGUGGGAACAGUACCUUUUGGUUCAGGAACAACUGAGGGAAACCUUCAGCUAAUACCAGGAUAAGCCCUUACGGGGAAAGAUUUAUCGCCGAAAGAUCAGGCCCAGCGUCUGAUUAGCUAGUUGGUGAGGUAAUGGCUCACCAAGGCGACGAUCAGUAGCUGGUCUGAGAGGAUGAUCAGCCACAUUGGGACUGAGACACGGCCCAAACUCCUACGGGAGGCAGCAGUGGGGAAUAUUGGACAAUGGGCGCAAGCCUGAUCCAGCCAUGCCGCGUGAGUGAUGAAGGCCCUAGGGUUGUAAAGCUCUUUUGUGCGGGAAGAUAAUGACGGUACCGCAAGAAUAAGCCCCGGCUAACUUCGUGCCAGCAGCCGCGGUAAUACGAAGGGGGCUAGCGUUGCUCGGAAUCACUGGGCGUAAAGGGUGCGUAGGCGGGUCUUUAAGUCAGGGGUGAAAUCCUGGAGCUCAACUCCAGAACUGCCUUUGAUACUGAAGAUCUUGAGUUCGGGAGAGGUGAGUGGAACUGCGAGUGUAGAGGUGAAAUUCGUAGAUAUUCGCAAGAACACCAGUGGCGAAGGCGGCUCACUGGCCCGAUACUGACGCUGAGGCACGAAAGCGUGGGGAGCAAACAGGAUUAGAUACCCUGGU
This 711-nucleotide ribosomal RNA is filed under the name Bradyrhizobium sp. INPA03-11B. RNAcentral describes it as "bacterial SSU rRNA". It matches the Rfam family "Bacterial small subunit ribosomal RNA", at positions 44 to 791 of the family's 1533-position model. The record is from RNAcentral. Lineage: Bacteria; Pseudomonadati; Pseudomonadota; Alphaproteobacteria; Hyphomicrobiales; Nitrobacteraceae.